This 125-nucleotide small RNA is filed under the name Marmota monax (woodchuck). The record is from RNAcentral. Lineage: Eukaryota; Metazoa; Chordata; Mammalia; Rodentia; Sciuridae.
GUCAGGCAUGGUGACGCAUGCCUGUAAUCCCAGUGGCUCUGGAGGCUAAGGCAGGAGGAUCUCGAGUUCAAAGCCACCCUCAGCAAAACUGAGGCACUAAACAAUUCAGUGAGACCCUGUCUCAA